CAGUCGCCGCGGGAAUACGAGGGGGGCAAGCGUUGUUCGGAAUUAUUGGGCGUAAAGGGUGCGUAGGCGGUUUGGCAAGUCUUGUGUGAAAUCUUCGGGCUCAACCCGAAGCCUGCACGAGAAACUGCCGGGCUUGAGUAUUGGAGAGGUGAGUGGAAUUUCCGGUGUAGCGGUGAAAUGCGUAGAUAUCGGAAGGAACACCUGUGGCGAAAGCGGCUCACUGGACAAUAACUGACGCUGAUGCACGAAAGCUAGGGGAGCAAACAGGAUUAGAUACCCCGGUAGUCCCUGUCUCUUAUAC
This 301-nucleotide ribosomal RNA is filed under the name uncultured bacterium. RNAcentral's name for it is "partial 16S ribosomal RNA". It matches the Rfam family "Bacterial small subunit ribosomal RNA", at positions 509 to 807 of the family's 1533-position model. The record is from RNAcentral.